Molecule: unclassified non-coding RNA, 352 nt
Filed under: soil metagenome
Description: partial contains 5.8S ribosomal RNA, internal transcribed spacer 2, and large subunit ribosomal RNA
Rfam family: 5.8S ribosomal RNA (bases 1-120)
Source: RNAcentral
GAUGAAGAACGCAGCGAAAUGCGAUAAGUAAUGUGAAUUGCAGAAUUCAGUGAAUCAUCGAAUCCUUGAACGCACAUUGCGCCCGCCAGUAUUCUGGCGGGCAUGCCUGUUCGAGCGUCAUUACAACCCUCAGGCCCCCGGGCCUGGCGUUGGGGAUCGGCGGAGCCCCCCGUGGGCACACGCCGUCCCCCAAAUGCAGUGGCGGUCCCGCCGCAGCUUCCAUCGCGUAGUAGCUAACACCUCGCGACUGGAGAGCGGCGCGGCCACGCCGUAAAACACCCAACUCUUCUGAAGUUGACCUCGAAUCAGGUAGGAAUACCCGCUGAACUUAAGCAUAUCAAUAAGCGGAGGA